Molecule: long non-coding RNA, 445 nt
Organism: Chinchilla lanigera (long-tailed chinchilla)
Lineage: Eukaryota; Metazoa; Chordata; Mammalia; Rodentia; Chinchillidae
Exons: 3
Source: RefSeq, a predicted model, not a curated record
UGCUUAGGGGUGCUGUCUGGGGCUCUUCUAACUCAGAGCCGUAUCACAGAAAUACAUGGGAGCACUUCAUAUUGGUCACAUAUUGAGCAGGCCGUUUCCUAGAUCCCAUCAUCUCUUGAAAUAACCAGAUGAAGACCUACAAAGUUGGAGUUCUCAUUUAUUCUCAGCAAAUAAUGAACUUUACAUAUUUAAUUCAUCUGACAAAGAUGGAGAAAAUUUGUUGAAAGUAAUAUAAUCCUGUUGAGGUUGAGGAGACCCUGUCCCAGAAAAAGCCGCUAAACCAGGAAGUUAUUUUGUGGUUCAAUCAAUAAGAUAUUUCCAAGCUGCUUCACCACUUCCCACUGCCACCUCUUCCACUGGAGUGAAGACUUCCUGUUUUGUAGCAAGUGCAAUUAUGCCUUCACCAUCAACCACCAACCUGAGGACUGCAUUCACUGCAUCCCAU